AGAGUUUGAUCAUGGCUCAGAUUGAACGCUGGCGGCAUGCUUUACACAUGCAAGUCGAACGCGAAAGCGGGGCAACCCGCAAGUAGAGUGGCGACGGGUGGGUAAUACAUCGGAACGCGCCCUUUAGUGGGGGACAACGCCGAGAAAUCGGCGCUAAUACCGCAUACGCCCGAGAGGGGAAAGCGGGGGACCGCAAGCCUCGCGCUGUUGGAGCGGCCGAUGUCCGAUUAGCUAGUUGGUGGGGUAAAGGCUCACCAAGGCGACGAUCGGUAGCUGGUCUGAGAGGAUGAUCAGCCACACUGGGACUGAGGCACGGCCCAGACUCCUACGGGAGGCAGCAGUGGGGAAUUUUGGACAAUGGGGGCAACCCUGAUCCAGCCAUGCCGCGUGAGUGAAGAAGGCCUUCGGGUUGUAAAGCUCUUUCGGCCGGAACGAAAUCGCGCGGGCGAACAAUCCGCGUGGAUGACGGUACCGGAAUAAGAAGCACCGGCUAACUACGUGCCAGCAGCCGCGGUAAUACGUAGGGUGCAAGCGUUAAUCGGAAUUACUGGGCGUAAAGCGUGCGCAGGCGGUCGCGUAAGCCAGAUGUGAAAGCCCCGGGCUUAACCUGGGAAUUGCAUUUGGUACUGCGUGGCUAGAGUGCGGCAGAGGGAGGUGGAAUUCCUGGUGUAGCAGUGAAAUGCGUAGAUAUCAGGAGGAACACCGAUGGCGAAGGCAGCCUCCUGGGCCAGCACUGACGCUCAUGCACGAAAGCGUGGGGAGCAAACAGGAUUAGAUACCCUAGUAGUCC
This 790-nucleotide ribosomal RNA is filed under the name uncultured bacterium. RNAcentral's name for it is "bacterial SSU rRNA". It matches the Rfam family "Bacterial small subunit ribosomal RNA", at positions 8 to 796 of the family's 1533-position model. The record is from RNAcentral.